ACAGCAGCAGCCGCGGGAAUACAGAGGGUGCAAGCGUUAAUCGGAAUUACUGGGCGUAAAGCGCGCGUAGGUGGUUCGCCAAGUUGGAUGUGAAAUCCCCGGGCUCAACCUGGGAACUGCAUCCAAAACUGGCGAGCUAGAGUAUGGUAGAGGGUAGUGGAAUUUCCUGUGUAGCGGUGAAAUGCGUAGAUAUUCGGAAGAACACCAGUGGCGAAGGCGGCUCACUGGCUCAUACUGGACGCUGAGGUGCGAAAGCGUGGGGAGCAAACAGGAUUAGAUACCCGCGUAGUCCCUGUCUCUUAUAC
RNAcentral lists this ribosomal RNA (305 nucleotides) under uncultured bacterium. Its description in RNAcentral is "partial 16S ribosomal RNA". It matches the Rfam family "Bacterial small subunit ribosomal RNA", at positions 505 to 807 of the family's 1533-position model. The record is from RNAcentral.